GAGGAUUGAGCUCCAAGUCUUGCAUUCUCUCUCCCAUUUUCGAAAAUAUCAUAAGGAAAAAGAAGAAGAAAGAAAAGCUUAGUCUUCCUCUUGGAUCUAGAACUCCAUAGCCAUGUUCUCCACCAAGUUCUUCCACCCUAGGAUCUUCGGUGAAAAGUUUGAAGGAGAGGAUCACCAUCUUUCUACGGUUUAAAAAUCUUCUUGGGAGCAUUUCGAGGUUCAACACUUAUGUCUCUCUCUCUAUGCCCUAAAACUUCCACAUGCCCUUGAGGUGGUCAAAGUAUCACUUGACCUAUUGGUUCAUACGCCUAUUUUUCAAACAGGAGAUGGAGCUUUCUAUGAUAGGCUUGCAAAAUGCUGGAAAAUUUUCUCUUGUUAACUUCAAGCAAUGCCUCACACUUCAAAUUGGUCCGUAAUAACUUUUGAAAAUGAGACUAGAUAUUGUUUGAUAUAAGCUGGCAUAUUCUUAUGAGAAUAAGAGCUCCUACUGAAGGUUCUUGUGACCAUAUUGCUUCGGUAUAGAGGUUGAAGGUUGAAUCCAAGGACGAGAUGAGGGAAAGAGAUGAAGCAAGAAACCAGAUUCAGAAAGUAUUGACCAGCUUUUCUCAAGUGGUUCAAACAGCCUGUCUGAUACCCAGAACCAAUUAUGUCUCUUCCCCUUGAGUUGUUGUUCGAUCUAGUGUCAUUACUUGAGCUCUGGAGCAUGAACGGUUGUUGUUCUCUGGUCCGACAUCAGCGAUGGACAGUCUACUGAGUCUAGUAUGGAUUUUUUAUGUCCAUAGAUACAAAGAUGUCAAAUAUGGAUUUUUUUUUUUAUGUGAAAGUACUUUUUAGUUAUUUAUGUAAUUCAAAUAAUAUGUAGAAUUUUGUACUUGAAUAUUGUUUGAUGUUAUUAUUUGACAAAUAUUAUUAGAGCAAAUACCAAAA
Ipomoea triloba (trilobed morning glory) is the source of this 927-nucleotide long non-coding RNA. RefSeq lists it as uncharacterized. The record is from RefSeq and is a predicted model, not a curated record. The transcript is spliced from 6 exons. NCBI's taxonomy places the organism in Eukaryota, Viridiplantae, Streptophyta, Magnoliopsida, Solanales, Convolvulaceae.